UCCCUAUCAAGACAAGUCAUCUAGGACUACC
RNAcentral lists this non-coding RNA (31 nucleotides) under Mus musculus (house mouse). Lineage: Eukaryota; Metazoa; Chordata; Mammalia; Rodentia; Muridae. The record is from RNAcentral.